UUUCCAUUGGGUUACUUGCUGGGAUAAAGCUGUUAUAAGUCGAAAGAGUUGCUGUUGCUGCCUUCCUUGUAUGGUAAAAUCCUCAGACUACAAUCCUGCAUACCAUUGGAUGAACUGUUGCUAUCUUUUGUAAAAAAAAAUCAGUAGAUAUUUGUCUUAUAAGCAGAAUGAAUUAUAAAUGCAUUUAAUUUUUAAUGCUUUAUUAUUCAAAUUAUAAAUAUUUAUUUCAUUA
Molecule: long non-coding RNA, 232 nt
Organism: Mytilus californianus (California mussel)
Lineage: Eukaryota; Metazoa; Mollusca; Bivalvia; Mytilida; Mytilidae
Exons: 2
Source: RefSeq, a predicted model, not a curated record